RNAcentral lists this ribosomal RNA (497 nucleotides) under uncultured bacterium. RNAcentral's name for it is "partial 16S ribosomal RNA". It matches the Rfam family "Bacterial small subunit ribosomal RNA", at positions 28 to 507 of the family's 1533-position model. The record is from RNAcentral.
GAUGAACGCUGGCGGCGUGCCUAAUACAUGCAAGUCGAGCGAACAGAUGAGGAGCUUGCUCCUCUGACGUUAGCGGCGGACGGGUGAGUAACACGUGGAUAACCUACCUAUAAGACUGGGAUAACUUCGGGAAACCGGAGCUAAUACCGGAUAAUAUAUUGAACCGCAUGGUUCAAUAGUGAAAGACGGUUUUGCUGUCACUUAUAGAUGGAUCCGCGCCGCAUUAGCUAGUUGGUAAGGUAACGGCUUACCAAGGCAACGAUGCGUAGCCGACCUGAGAGGGUGAUCGGCCACCUGAGAACUGAGCCACGGUCCAGACUCCUACGGGAGGCAGCAGUCGGGAAUCUUCCGCAAUGGGCGAAAGCAUGACGGAGCAACGCCGCGUGAGUGAUGAAGGUCUUCGGAUCGUAAAACUCUGUUAUUAGGGAAGAACAAAUGUGUAAGUAACUAUGCACGUCUUGACGGUACCUAAUCAGAAAGCCACGGCUAACUACGUG